Marmota flaviventris (yellow-bellied marmot) is the source of this 505-nucleotide non-coding RNA. The record is from RefSeq and is a predicted model, not a curated record. NCBI's taxonomy places the organism in Eukaryota, Metazoa, Chordata, Mammalia, Rodentia, Sciuridae.
UGCAAUCCUCCUGCUUUAACCUGCAGAGACCUGGGAUUACAGGUCCUAUUAACCCUGUGAAACAUGUUGAUACUAGCCUUAGCGUGGUCUGCGGUCUUCCCUUCAUCACUGGGGCUACUUGGGUGGUAUUCACGGGAAUCCAGCAAGGAGCUGUCAGUGCUAUCUGCAUGAAUAUUUCCUUGUAAUCCAAGAUCCCUCAACUAUCUCCAUGUCACCAGCUGAAGACAUUCCUGCUAUAAGCUGAGAGGAUGAGAGGAGGCUGUUUCCAUAGCUCUGUGACAGGAUCAGGGCUUCUCAAUCUAAAAAUAAAUCUACAUGUGCAUGCACACGCGCACACUUGUGCACACACAAAAUUAUUUUGCCUUUUUGAGGUUCCAGAGCAAGGAAUCCUUAAAUUCUAAGCCUCAUAUUCUUCCCUUCUAUCCUUUCUCUGGUAAAAUUUAGUUUUUCUCUCCUUUUUAAAUCUCCUCAAGUAAAUAAAAUUAUGAUAUUGUGAUGGCAGCAA